AUUGAACGCUGGCGGCAUGCCUAACACAUGCAAGUCGAACGGAGAUAGGGGCAACCUUAUUUCAGUGGCGGACGGGUGAGGAAUGCGUCGGAAUCUGCCCUAUGGUGGGGGAUAACACAGGGAAACUUGUGCUAAUACCGCAUAAUGUCGAGAGACCAAAGCAGGGGACCGCAAGGCCUUGCGCGAUAGGAUGAGCCGACGCCCGAUUAGCUUGUUGGUAGGGUAAUGGCCUACCAAGGCGACGAUCGGUAGCUGGUCUGAGAGGAUGAUCAGCCACACUGGGACUGAGACACGGCCCAGACUCCUACGGGAGGCAGCAGUGGGGAAUAUUGGACAAUGGGCGCAAGCCUGAUCCAGCAAUGCCGCGUGUGUGAAGAAGGCCUGC
Molecule: ribosomal RNA, 385 nt
Filed under: uncultured bacterium
Lineage: Bacteria
Description: bacterial SSU rRNA
Rfam family: Bacterial small subunit ribosomal RNA
Source: RNAcentral